ACGAACGCUGGCGGCGUGCUUAACACAUGCAAGUCGAACGGAAAGGCCCUGCUUUUGUGGGGUGCUCGAGUGGCGAACGGGUGAGUAACACGUGAGUAACCUGCCCUUGACUUUGGGAUAACUUCAGGAAACUGGGGCUAAUACCGGAUAGGAGCUCCUGCUGCAUGGUGGGGGUUGGAAAGUUUCGGCGGUUGGGGAUGGACUCGCGGCUUAUCAGCUUGUUGGUGGGGUAGUGGCAUACCAAGGCUUUGACGGGUAGCCGGCCUGAGAGGGUGACCGGCCACAUUGGGACUGAGAUACGGCCCAGCCUGCUACGGGAGGCAGCGGUGGGGAAUAUUGCACACUGGGCGGAAGCCUGAUGCAGCACCGCCGGGUGCGGGAUGACGGCCUUCGGGUUGUAAACCGCUUUCGCAUGUGACGAAGCGUGAGUGACGGUAAUGGGUAAAGAAGCACCGGCUAACUACGUG
RNAcentral lists this ribosomal RNA (467 nucleotides) under uncultured bacterium. Its description in RNAcentral is "partial 16S ribosomal RNA". It matches the Rfam family "Bacterial small subunit ribosomal RNA", at positions 29 to 507 of the family's 1533-position model. The record is from RNAcentral.